GAUGAACGCUGGCGGCGUGCCUAAUACAUGCAAGUCGAGCGAACAGACGAGGGGCUUGUUCCUCUGACGUUAGCGGCGGACGGGUGAGUAACACGUGGAUAACCUACCUAUAAGACUGGGAUAACUUUGGGAAACCGGAGCUAAUACCGUAUAAUAUAUUGAACCGCAUGGUUCAAUAGUGAAAGACGGUUUUGCUGUCACUUAUAGAUGGAUCCGCGCCGCAUUAGCUAGUUGGUAAGGUAACGGCUUACCAAGGCAACGAUGCGUAGCCGACCUGAGAGGGUGAUCGGCCACACUGGAACUGAGACACGGUCCAGACUCCUACGGGAGGCAGCAGUAGGGAAUCUUCCGCAAUGGGCGAAAGCCUGACGGAGCAACGCCGCGUGAGUGAUGAAGGUCUUCGGAUCGUAAAACUCUGUUAUUAGGGAAGAACAAAUGUGUAAGUAACUAUGCACGUCUUGACGGUACCGAAUCAGAAAGCCACGGCUAACUACGU
This 496-nucleotide ribosomal RNA is filed under the name uncultured bacterium. Its description in RNAcentral is "partial 16S ribosomal RNA". It matches the Rfam family "Bacterial small subunit ribosomal RNA", at positions 28 to 506 of the family's 1533-position model. The record is from RNAcentral.